AACGAACGCUGGCGGCAUGCCUAACACAUGCAAGUCGAACGAGACCUUCGGGUUUGGUGGCGCACGGGUGCGUAACGCGUGGGAAACUGCCUUUAGGUUUGGCUUAACUCCCCGAAAGGGGUGCUAAUACCGGCUAAUGUCCUCGGACCAAAGAUUUAUCGACGUUGGAUGGGCCGUAGUGGACUUACCUUGUUGGUAGGGUAAAUGCCUACCAAAGCGACGAUCGAUAGAUGGUCUGUGAGGAUGAUCCGCCACACUGGUACUGGGACACGGCCCAGACUCCUGGGGGAGGGAGCAGAGGGGAAUAUUGGACAGGGGGCGAUAGCCUGAUCCUGCAAUGCCGGUUGAGUGAUGAAGGCCUUGGGGAUGUAAAGUUCUUUUACCCGGGAUGAUAAUGACGGUACCGGGAGAAUAAGCACCGGCUAACUCCGUG
Molecule: ribosomal RNA, 433 nt
Filed under: uncultured bacterium
Lineage: Bacteria
Description: partial 16S ribosomal RNA
Rfam family: Bacterial small subunit ribosomal RNA
Source: RNAcentral